Molecule: ribosomal RNA, 253 nt
Filed under: uncultured bacterium
Lineage: Bacteria
Also listed under: 1 other name
Description: partial 16S ribosomal RNA
Rfam family: Bacterial small subunit ribosomal RNA
Source: RNAcentral
UACGGAGGGUCCAAGCGUUAUCCGGAAUCAUUGGGUUUAAAGGGUGCGCAGGCGGUAAAGUAAGUCAGUGGUGAAAUCUCUCGGCUCAACCGAGAAACUGCCAUUGAUACUGCUAUACUUGAAUAUAGUUGAAGUAGGCGGAAUGUGUAGUGUAGCGGUGAAAUGCUUAGAUAUUACACAGAACACCGAUAGCGAAGGCAGCUUACUAAACUAAUAUUGACGCUCAUGCACGAAAGCGUGGGGAGCGAACAGG